This 1186-nucleotide long non-coding RNA is filed under the name Equus caballus (horse). RNAcentral describes it as "lncRNA (ENSECAG00000053187.1)". Lineage: Eukaryota; Metazoa; Chordata; Mammalia; Perissodactyla; Equidae. The record is from RNAcentral.
GGCCAACUCCCCGCCGGCUCUCUGCCACCUGUCUGAGUAGGGGCUUGUCUGGCCCUCAUGGGAGGGUGAGGAGAAAGUCAACGAAACCCAUCAGCCCCUUGAUUAUUGGUGGUCUGGUCGAAGCUUUAAGGGGAGUGAAAUAUCUCAUCAGGAUCCAGUGUGGUCCCUUAUCUUUGGAAAUGAAAGCAUCCUUGUUGUUUUGCCGCAGCAGAAAAUGAGGGGAGGUGACUGUUGCAGAGGAGAAGACCCCGGUGCUUAGCAACCAAGAGCAGACACAGCCUCUGGUCGCAUCCUGACUUAAGCAAACCAGUUGUAAGACACAUACAGGGGCAUGGCGGAAAUGCGACACAGACAGAUAGCAGACAAAUCGGGGAGUUAUUCGUUGUGUCAGGUAUUUGUCAUUGUGGGUAUGAGGAAAACUGUCCUUAUAUUUUGGAGAUGCAUAUUGAAAUAAUCAGGGAUAUAUUAGCAUUAUGUCCAAAUUCACUCUAAAAUGUUUCCACAGAAAAACAGCAAGAAAAUACAGCAACAUUUUAUUAAAUAAGGCGCUCUCUGCAUCCUCUGGAGCCGUGGCUAAGGGAGCGAGGACUAGUCGAGAGACGGGAUUUGACUCACCAGCCACUGACCAACCGGGAACGAGCCCAACUGGCUUCUGCGUUUUUGAUGAGAUUUCGAGGCCUUUAAGGACUUCAAAGGCGAAUAGGUUUUAAAGUUACAGGAAUGAAAGUAAUAACUGGCUAAUAUUCAAAGGUGAGAAAGACUUGGUGAAUGGAUUGUAAACGACUUUUCUUGUUGAAGACGCUGAGUGUGACUCGAGGUCAUCGUUUCAACCUCAGGGACAACUGCCCCUGACUACAUCGUGGAUGCAGAUGAUGUGGAUGCAGAUGUCGUGGACGCAGACGUCUGUGGACGUAGACGUCGCGGAUGCAGAUGUCUGUGCCACCCGCCUCGGGGACUAUUGGGAAACACAGGAGACAAGGCUGAAGGCACUUACGUUGCUUCCAUGUCUUGGCUGUUGUGACAGUGCUGCAAUGAUCAUGGGGGUACAGAGAUCUCUUCAAGGUACUGACUUCGCUUCCUUUGGGUAUAUACCCAGAGGAAAAAUUUCUGGAUCACAUGGUAGUUCUGCGUUGAGGUUUUUGAGGAACCUCCAUGCUGUUUUCUGUAGUAGCUGCACCCAUUUACA